Molecule: long non-coding RNA, 1652 nt
Organism: Equus caballus (horse)
Lineage: Eukaryota; Metazoa; Chordata; Mammalia; Perissodactyla; Equidae
Source: Ensembl
ACUCUACCCUUAUGCUCUAAGCACCUCCAAAGGCUCCAUCUCCUAAUACCUCACAUCAAACAUUAGGAUUUCAACAUAGGAAUUUUUUUAGCGGAGGGACACAAACAUUUAGACCAUAGCAAUGCACACCCCUUCCCUCUCAUUGUUGGACCAAUCUUGCGUAGAUUCCACUCUAGUCACUUUCAGUUAUGCAAACAGUCUCAUUUAGGCAAUUAUAACUCAUUUUUGGGUUUUAGAAGAUUCAGCUCAGCUUAAUAUCAAAACAGCAAUCCCACGUCCAGGGGACCUACACUGUUGGAAGAGUCUCUCCCUCUUUUUCAAUUAGUUGAAGAGACGCGAGUCUUUUGCCACUGGUGCUGCUAUUGUUCUAUCCUGGCCACUCUCUUAGGCAGGUCCCAUGAAGACAGCUUGAGCAUGCUUACCUUCCGUUGCAUCUGUGAGUCGGUGGGAAGCACUUGCAUCCUCGCCACCCAGAAGUCUAGAUUGCUCCAGUUCAGCUCUCUCUUUACCUUCAUGGCAAAUGGCUGCACCUGGCCUCCUGCUUGCUAUAGUCACCAGCUGCAAAACAAAUAUAGAAAAGCAAGGCCUGAGGUCAUGCUAUGCAAACCAACCCCUGGGAUCCAUCUGGUCCAACAACCUCAGCUCAUUGAGAAAAGGUAUAGCUGGCCUGCAAAGAUUUCUUAGGAAACUGAACUGACAUUAAAGAGCCCUUGGUUUUAUUUUUAACUCUCCGGCUGUUGGAGUUUGGACAUGUUGGGUUUUCUAUCCUGGAGCAAACCUUUUGCGAUCCACAAGGUGAAAUCCGUCACGGGGUGUAAGGGACAACAACAUGUCACAAAGCGUCAAAACUCAGGGAAACUCACUUGCUGUAGAAGCUGAUCUGCAGAAUCCAUCGGACUGUUCGCCAGACUAAAAGAGCUGUGAUGUUUUGAUCCCUAGAGCUUUUUUGGGUAACCUUUCAUGUACUGUCACCAGUUACUUCCAGGUUUAAUGUGCUUUCAUCAAUGGGUUUUUGAAGCCAGCCUCCACUCCACUCUCACUUUAUUUAUAUAGUGUUGGAGGGUGGAAUUGACAUCCUCUUUCAGACGGAAAGUAAAUUGAGUUCUCUCUUUUAGCUAUGGAUUAUUGAGCAGGUUGCAAUAGAAUUGUAAUGCCGCUGGUGGUGACCUUUGUGUAGGAAUUUUUGUGUAUUUUGCAAAGCAAAAAUAAAUCCAAUGAAGCUUAAUCAUGGCCAAAAUCCAAACUGAGAAAACCUUUGAAAGGUAGAUUAAAAAGCCAUAGCAGCAUUCAUUUCAUAGAAAUUAAUGAAUUAUAAAAGUGAGAGAUAUUAAAUUUGAAUAGCCCAGCUCUCCCUCCACCCCCAGAUGUGCAAAAAAGGCAAGUUCUUGGUAGAAUGCCAUUAUUUUCACAAGGUAAAAAGCCAGGGAUAAUGUAACAGAAUAUUUCCUGGUUAAAAAAAUAAUAAGUUCCAUAUUGACCCAUUCGAUCGUUAGCUUCCAUCUCAGUUCACACUUCAAAAUGUUCUCUCAAAUGGUUAUGCAUUGGACACAUGGGAAGAAAAUCUGAGGUGAUAGCCUAAGCUUUUAGAGUAAACCAAACCCAUUGAGUGGCAAGUUAAUGUACAAUAGCGUCCAUAAGGCAUGUUAACUGGC